Sander lucioperca (pikeperch) is the source of this 1030-nucleotide long non-coding RNA. RefSeq lists it as uncharacterized. The record is from RefSeq and is a predicted model, not a curated record. The transcript has 2 exons. Lineage: Eukaryota; Metazoa; Chordata; Actinopteri; Perciformes; Percidae.
UGUUUCCCAUAGUCUUUUUAGAGUUUAAAAAAAAGUUUAUUAGUAUCGUGGAAUAUAAAAAAAAGUCUGAAGCCCCAGUGCUCACUCACACUAAAUUAAACCGCUUAUUUGUAGAUUUAGAACCAGCAGCCUAAACAGAAACUACAUUCUGCAAAUUAAUUAUUCAUUAGGCUUGUCUUCUUAAAAAAACACUUUCAUCCAUUUUCUUUCCUUCUUCUCUUCUAUCUACAGUCAAAUGCCAAGCCAAGAACACCACAAAUUGUUUUUCUUUCUUAUUCAGUUAGAGGGUUUUGUGGAUUAGUACAGGCUUUGAUGUUGCUCAAAAAUUACAGAGACCUGCCAUUAAUUAAAGUCUGUGUAUGAUCAUUGCACGUGAUGACUAACAAAAAUCCUGCAAUCUCACUGCCUCUUGUACCGGAUUUGAUGCAGCCUCCACAGUCGAGUUAUGCAACUAUUUACACUUAACUGUGUUUGGCUAGGGAUGAUAAAACUAAAUAUGGCCAAACUAAUCAAAAGAUUUGCUUUGUUUUCCAUGAUGCAUAUUUAUGACGUUGAGUCCAAACCGAACUGUUGAUCGGGAACAUCUAGUACUUUUAGUGCUGCUAAAAAUACCAUUUGUUUAGCUUUCCUUCACUUUGAAAUUAUGACAUGACCAAGUGUGAAGAAAAGAAAUGGUUUCCUGCUCUGAGUUUGAAACACUCAUCAGUUCUCUGUCAAAUCUCUGUUAUUGACUGUCACCUUUUCACAUUGUGAUAAAAAGUGUAUUAAUCAUGAAUCUUGAACGGGAGGGAGGGCUGAUCAAGACUUUUCUUCAUGAGGUUUUAUUCUGUAACAAUACCCCUAACUGUCAGUCUAAAUUAUUGACUAAAGUAAAGAAGAAACCGUGAAAUAAGACGGCUUGUUGUCAUCGGUUUUAAAUUCAAGGAUUCAAAGCUUUUAUUUGUUAAUAAGUAAAUGUGUAGUUAAAUGCAGUGUGGUAUACACAUUAAAACUAAUGUGAAAAAUAGGAUUGAAGAAAUCCAGAAAGUAA